This 468-nucleotide ribosomal RNA is filed under the name uncultured bacterium. RNAcentral's name for it is "partial 16S ribosomal RNA". It matches the Rfam family "Bacterial small subunit ribosomal RNA", at positions 28 to 507 of the family's 1533-position model. The record is from RNAcentral.
GACGAACGCUGGCGGCGUGCUUAACACAUGCAAGUCGAACGGAAAGUCCCUUCUUUUGUUGGUUGCUCGAGUGGCGAACGGUUGAUUAACACGUUAGUAACCUGCCCUUGACUUUGGGAUAACUUCAGGAAACUGGGGCUAAUACCGGAUAGGAUCUCCUGCUGCAUGGUUGGGGUUGGAAAGUUUCGGCGGUUUGUGAUGGACUCGCGGCUUAUCAUCUUUUUUGUGGGGUAGUGGCUUACCAAGGCUUUGACGGGUAGCCGGCCUGAGAGGGUGACCGGCCACAUUGGGACUGAGAUACGGCCCAGACUACUACGGGAGGCAGCAGUGGGGAAUAAUGCACAAUGGGCGGAAGCCUGAUGCAGCAACGCCGCGUGCGGGAUGACGGCCUUCGGGUUGUAAACCGCUUUCGCCGGUGACGAAGCGUGAGUGACGGUAAUGGGUAAAGAAGCACCGGCUAACUACGUG